GAUGAAGAACGCAGCGAAAUGCGAUAAGUAAUGUGAAUUGCAGAAUUCAGUGAAUCAUCGAAUCUUUGAACGCACAUUGCGCCCGCUAGUAUUCUGGCGGGCAUGCCUGUCCGAGCGUCAUUUCAACCCUCAAGCCCCCGGGCUUGGUGUUGGGGAUCGGCGAGCCUCCGCGCCCGCCGUCCCCUAAAUCUAGUGGCGGUCGCGCUGUAGCUUCCUCUGCGUAGUAGCACACCUCGCACUGGGAAACAGCGCGGCCACGCCGUUAAACCCCCAACUUCUGAACGUUUGACCUCGGAUCAGGUAGGAAUACCCGCUGAACUUAAGCAUAUCAAUAAGCGGAGGA
This 343-nucleotide unclassified non-coding RNA is filed under the name soil metagenome. RNAcentral describes it as "partial contains 5.8S ribosomal RNA, internal transcribed spacer 2, and large subunit ribosomal RNA". The stretch from base 1 to 120 matches the Rfam family "5.8S ribosomal RNA", at positions 35 to 154 of the family's 154-position model. The record is from RNAcentral.